UUAGCUGUGAAAAAGAAAGGGAUAAGUACUGAGUGAGGGGUCAGACUUCUAAUUCAUAUUUCUUGUAGUGCAUGUGUCCCGUAAAAUGUUUUGUACAUAAAUGUUCUAUUGAAAAUUAUAUUUUGUUCAUAUAAGAUUUUAAAAUGAAGAUAUUGAACUGUCUUUAAUUUACAAACCAAUACUUUCUCUACCUUCUAACUGUAUUUCCUGUAUGUGAAAGUUAGAAAGUUGAGGAAACUCGGGGCCACUCGCAGCAAGUGGCGUUUUGGUCAUGGAUGCGAACGUCCCGUUGAAUGAUUUCUUUCAGCGCAGCUGUGAAUGCGUGCUUUGUCCUGAGGAUCUGGCUACACAGCUGUGUCACUGGAAGUGUGUUGCUCUGUAGCUUCCUUAAAAACUCAGCAGCUCGUUCAGGAAAUUGACUUGGUCUAAGCUGUGUAAAGUCCUAGAACGCGCAGUGGACUGAACACUGGCCAGCCUCAGCAGUUCUGGCGGAUAAGCAGGCUCUGGGGGACCUGUCUUCUUUGGGGAGUGUUUGACUCACAGCCUCGCUGGCCAGCGAUGCCCUUGCCUCUGGGAGCGUGUCUCAACAAGACCCUGUCAUCCACUUAAUAUUUGCCCAGCCCUCACUGAGACAGUUAUAAAAAUCCAACUAUUAGGAGACACCGAGGGCGUCAGCAAGAAGGGCAACGUAACUUUUUGCUUUGACUUUUGAGGAAAAGUUGUAGAAACCCGAGGAAACUUUUAAAGAAGAGAAAGCAUCAAAGUGAUUUAGUAACAGCGAAAGAAGGCGGCCACAGGCUACCGUUACCUUCACGGAGCUAAGGCUCCUCAUGGUCAACGUCAGCAGCACAAGCACCCGUGGACUGGGUGUGGCAGAACAGGGAGAGGCCACAGUGCCGGAGCCACGUUUCCCAGGCCGUGGCCACUCCUCACUACAAGCUGUGCUGGAGAGGACUGAACAGCCGGCAGCUUUCUUUUUAACAUGUCGUAUUUCUGGGUCAAAAUUUGGGGAGUGUGAAAGCCAUCACCCAGCUGAUACACUUGAGACUUCCCACCCCCUGCUUACCAGAGGCGCCUGGGGGAAGGGAAGCUGAGGGAAGAAGGGCAGGAUUUGUGGUGGGUAAAAGCUGAAUCUCUGUAAAAGGAAGCACAGUGUGAGUCGGUCUGAUUAUUAACGACAGCUUUGAAGUGAAGAACAUGCUAUUUGAAUGUACACGUGUACCUGUUCACUGGAACUUCCUCCAGAUUGUCCAAGCUUUAAAAAAAAAGAAGAAAAGCACCAAGGUGAAGCAGCUGGUGACAGCACCUUAUCCAGCAAGACGUUUCAUUUCAUGUGAGAACAGCUAAAAAGCCUUGAGCAUUAUGCCUGUCGGUCAUGUAGCUUCACCUCUGAAAUAAAUUACAUGUUUAACAGGGGA
Molecule: non-coding RNA, 1418 nt
Organism: Peromyscus maniculatus bairdii (prairie deer mouse)
Lineage: Eukaryota; Metazoa; Chordata; Mammalia; Rodentia; Cricetidae
Source: RefSeq, a predicted model, not a curated record